Non-coding RNA from Vicugna pacos (alpaca), 1194 nucleotides. NCBI's taxonomy places the organism in Eukaryota, Metazoa, Chordata, Mammalia, Artiodactyla, Camelidae. The record is from RefSeq and is a predicted model, not a curated record.
GCCCCGGUCGCCCGCCGCUGCUGGAUCUGAGGCGGCAGCUGCGCUGUCGGACCGGGCGCAGGUGGGUGGAAUGGAGAUGACACCGGGGGAAACCUUGCAAGCCAGAAAUUCAAUAUGGCAGAACCCCCAUUAUCCAGAGACUCCAGAUGACCACGUGGAAGAGGGUAGCCCAAUGAGCUCUUCACCCAUACUGUACUUUUACUGAGACUUCCCAUCAAAAGGAGAAGCCUGCUUCUCCACCCUCUUAAAUCUGGGCAAGCCCGCUACUGUUUUGACCAAUAAAAUUGUGCAGAAGUGGCACUAUGCCAGUUCCAGGCAUAGUACAUCAUGGACCUGGCAGCUUCCAGCUCCUGCCUCUUAGAAGCCAAACACCAGUAAGAAGUGUGACUAACCUCAGAAUGACAUGCUGUGAGCAAGCCCUAAACCAUGUGGAGAGACUGACAGCUCCCAAUUUCUCUAGCCCCCCAGCCCAGGAACUAGACAUGCAAGUGAAGAAGCCUUCAGUUGAUUCCAUCCAUGCUGUUUGAUGGCAACCUAGUGAGAAACAUUCACCUGAGCUCAGUCAACACUAAGAACUGUCAGAAAUAAUACAUUAUUUUUCCACCUCUAAGUAAUGGGGUGUUUUGCCAUGCAGCAAGAGAUAAAUACUUUUUUUUUGGUUUGUUUACAUGGCAUUUCAAGGGCAAAAGAGACAAAUGAAAGGAUACCCUUAUGACCUCUAUUUGUUGCAUGCCCUGUUUUAAGUGGCCACUCCACAGAAAUAGGAUGGACCCUCUCACCCAAAAUUUGGUACAAAUAUAAAGACUGAUGACAGCACAUAUACACUAAAAGGGUUUGAAAUAAUUUAUUUAUCAUUUAUAUAAUAAGGCUUUCCAGGGAGAGCUGGGGGAUUCCCAAGGAGGAAUGCAAACGGCUUCACAGGGCAGGGAAAGGAGAUUGGCUUGAUGUUGCCGUCGUGGUUAGGGAAUGGGGCUGGAGUGAGGGUUCUCCCGGUGUGGGCCAGGGCUUGCAUGGUUUGAACUAUCCACCAGCACUGAAGGAGGUAGCACCCAGACUUCCUUAUCACCUUGCCCAGAUGUAGAGCAGAUGGGCAAGGAGGAGUGCUGGUGCGUGAAAGCUGUCAGCAGUUGAACAGCAGUAAUGGAGUCAGACUCUAUUGUGCUGUAAGUUUUGAUGCUAUAGUAUUUGGUACAU